Molecule: ribosomal RNA, 372 nt
Filed under: uncultured organism
Description: bacterial SSU rRNA
Rfam family: Bacterial small subunit ribosomal RNA
Source: RNAcentral
CGUAGGGUGCGAGCGUUAAUCGGAAUUACUGGGCGUAAAGCGUGCGCAGGCGGUUUUGUAAGACAGGCGUGAAAUCCCCGGGCUCAACCUGGGAACUGCGCUUGUGACUGCAAGGCUAGAGUACGGCAGAGGGGGGUGGAAUUCCACGUGUAGCGGUGAAAUGCGUAGAGAUGUGGAGGAACACCAAUGGCGAAGGCAGCCCCCUGGGUCGAUACUGACGCUCAUGCACGAAAGCGUGGGUAGCAAACAGGAUUAGAUACCCUGGUAGUCCACGCCCUAAACGAUGUCAACUAGGUGUUGGGUGGGUAAAACCAUUUAGUACCGGAGCUAACGCGUGAAGUUGACCGCCUGGGGAGUACGGCCGCAAGGUUA